RNAcentral lists this long non-coding RNA (664 nucleotides) under Canis lupus familiaris (dog). RNAcentral's name for it is "lncRNA (ENSCAFG00000033336.3)". The record is from RNAcentral. Lineage: Eukaryota; Metazoa; Chordata; Mammalia; Carnivora; Canidae.
AUGACUUCCAUUAUUUUGUAAUAAAAGGCUUAAAGCACAAUGUGAGCUUUUUUUAGAUGCUACGUUCCAAGUGAGUAGUGUGUUGUUAAUUUUUAUAUUAAUGCAGGGUGCCAGCAGAACUCCGUGCAGAAUCUAAAGAAGAAAAUCACUUUCCCACAGCUCUGAUACCUGGUGACCGAUUUUAGCUUAUUUAUUUUAUUUUAUUUUAUUUUAUUUUAUAUUUUAUUUUAUUUUUUGUCAUCUCCUAGAUGAAAUGAACAUCCUUUCCACAGCGAUGCAGUAUAGAUAUUUCCAACACAAGGACCCUUCUCCCCAGUGACAAGAGAGUUCCUUGCUAAACCAUAGUUCUGUCACCAGCACAUGCAUUGGGUACAGCUUCCUACCUUCCCCUGUGCAUCUUCCUGAGAGCUGGAGAUGACGAGAUCCUCUACUUGUAUUCCCCAGUGAAAAGCUGACAACACUCUAUUGUCUGCCUACUAAUGAGCUUUCUUGUAUGGAAGAUGAUAAAGCAAAAUCUAAUCACAUCUAUGUCCCCAAACACACUUCAGCCCAAGUGGAUUCAGCACAAAUAAAUUAUCGCGCUGUAAGGAUCCCGAGGGAAAAGUUGAUAAGCCAGAUCCCAUUCUCUCCACAUGUGUCUCAACAAAUAUAUCAUCUUAAGAAG